AGAGUUUGAUCCUGGCUCAGGAUGAACGCUGGCGGCGUGCCUAACACAUGCAAGUCGAACGGACUUACAUUGAAGCCUAGCGAUAUGUAAGUUAGUGGCGGACGGGUGAGUAACGCGUGGGUAACCUGCCUUGUACUGGGGGACAACAGUUGGAAACGACUGCUAAUACCGCAUAAGCGCACAGCUUCGCAUGAAGCAGUGUGAAAAACUCCGGUGGUACAAGAUGGACCCGCGUCUGAUUAGCUGGUUGGUGAGGUAACGGCCCACCAAGGCGACGAUCAGUAGCCGGCCUGAGAGGGUGAACGGCCACAUUGGGACUGAGACACGGCCCAAACUCCUACGGGAGGCAGCAGUGGGGAAUAUUGCACAAUGGGGGAAACCCUGAUGCAGCAACGCCGCGUGAGUGAAGAAGUAUUUCGGUAUGUAAAGCUCUAUCAGCAGGAAAGAAAAUGACGGUACCUGACUAAGAAGCACCGGCUAAAUACGUGCCAGCAGCCGCGGUAAUACGUAUGGUGCAAGCGUUAUCCGGAUUUACUGGGUGUAAAGGGUGCGUAGGUGGCAAGGCAAGUCUGAAGUGAAAAUCCGGGGCUCAACCCCGGAACUGCUUUGGAAACUGUUUAGCUGGAGUACAGGAGAGGUAAGUGGAAUUCCUAGUGUAGCGGUGAAAUGCGUAGAUAUUAGGAGGAACACCAGUGGCGAAGGCGACUUACUGGACUGCUACUGACGCUGAGGCGCGAAAGCGUGGGGAGCAAACAGGAUUAGAUACCCUGGUAGUCCACGCGGUAAACGAUGAAU
RNAcentral lists this ribosomal RNA (795 nucleotides) under uncultured bacterium. RNAcentral describes it as "bacterial SSU rRNA". It matches the Rfam family "Bacterial small subunit ribosomal RNA", at positions 8 to 814 of the family's 1533-position model. The record is from RNAcentral.